AGUGGGGAAUAUUGGACAAUGGGCGCAAGCCUGAUCCAGCCAUGCCGCGUGAGUGACGAAGGCCUUAGGGUUGUAAAGCUCUUUUGGCGGGGACGAUAAUGACGGUACCCGCAGAAUAAGCCCCGGCUAACUUCGUGCCAGCAGCCGCGGUAAUACGAAGGGGGCUAGCGUUGUUCGGAAUCACUGGGCGUAAAGCGCACGUAGGCGGACUUUCAAGUCAGGGGUGAAAUCCCGGGGCUCAACCUCGGAACUGCCUUUGAUACUGUUGGUCUCGAGUCCGGAAGAGGUGGGUGGAAUUCCUAGUGUAGAGGUGAAAUUCGUAGAUAUUAGGAAGAACACCGGUGGCGAAGGCGGCCCACUGGUCCGGUACUGACGCUGAGGUGCGAAAGCGUGGGGAGCAAA
This 402-nucleotide ribosomal RNA is filed under the name uncultured Pedomicrobium sp. RNAcentral describes it as "bacterial SSU rRNA". It matches the Rfam family "Bacterial small subunit ribosomal RNA", at positions 353 to 772 of the family's 1533-position model. Lineage: Bacteria; Pseudomonadati; Pseudomonadota; Alphaproteobacteria; Hyphomicrobiales; Hyphomicrobiaceae. The record is from RNAcentral.